GCCUGGAUAGCUCAGUCAGUAGAGCAUCAGACUUUUAAUCUGAGGACCCAAGGUUCAUGCCCCUGUUCAGGCA
Molecule: non-coding RNA, 73 nt
Organism: Budorcas taxicolor (takin)
Lineage: Eukaryota; Metazoa; Chordata; Mammalia; Artiodactyla; Bovidae
Source: the annotation of a RefSeq genome assembly